Molecule: ribosomal RNA, 212 nt
Filed under: uncultured bacterium
Lineage: Bacteria
Description: partial 16S ribosomal RNA
Rfam family: Bacterial small subunit ribosomal RNA
Source: RNAcentral
AGUUCAGAUUGCAGGCUGCAACUCGCCUGCAUGAAGUUGGAAUUGCUAGUAAUCGCGAAUCAGAAUGUCGCGGUGAAUACGUUCCCGGGCCUUGUACACACCGCCCGUCACACCAUGAGAGUCGAUAACACCCGAAGUCGAUGAGCUAACCUUUUAGGAGGCAGUCGCCUAAGGUGGGGUUGAUAACUGGGGUGAAGUCGUAACAAGGUAGC